RNAcentral lists this ribosomal RNA (456 nucleotides) under uncultured Bellilinea sp. Its description in RNAcentral is "bacterial SSU rRNA". It matches the Rfam family "Bacterial small subunit ribosomal RNA", at positions 910 to 1382 of the family's 1533-position model. The record is from RNAcentral. Lineage: Bacteria; Bacillati; Chloroflexota; Anaerolineae; Anaerolineales; Anaerolineaceae.
UUGACGGGCCCCGCACAGCAGCGAGCGUGUGGUUUAAUUCGAUGCUACACGAAGAACCUUACCAGGGUUUGACAUACAAGUAGUAGGGAAAGGAAACUGGACCGACCCUUCGGGGAGCUUGUACAGGUGCUGCAUGGCUGUCGUCAGCUCGUGUCGUGAGAUGUUCGGUUAAGUCCGCUAACGAGCGCAACCCUCGCUGUGUGUUACAAGUGUCACACGGAACUGCCGGUCAUAAACCGGAGGAAGGUGGGGAUGACGUCAAGUCCUCAUGGCCUUUAUGACCAGGGCUACACACGUACUACAAUGGCCGGUACAAAGGGCAGCGACACAGCGAUGUGAAGCGAAUCCCGAAAAGCCGGUCUCAGUCCGGAUUGGAGUCUGCAACUCGACUCCAUGAAGUUGGAAUCGCUAGUAAUCGCGGAUCAGCACGCCGCGGUGAAUACGUUCCCGGGCCUU